GGCUUAACACAUGCAAGUCGAGGGGUAUAGUAGCAAUACUAGAGACCGGCGCACGGGUGCGUAACGCGUAUGCAAUCUACCUUUUGCAGAGGGAUAGCCCAGAGAAAUUUGGAUUAAUACCACAUAGUAUAAUGUUUCGGCAUCGGGAUAUUAUUAAAGUCACAACGGCAAAAGAUGAGCAUGCGUCCCAUUAGCUAGUUGGUAUGGUAACGGCAUACCAAGGCGACGAUGGGUAGGGGUCCUGAGAGGGAGAUCCCCCACACUGGUACUGAGACACGGACCAGACUCCUACGGGAGGCAGCAGUGAGGAAUAUUGGACAAUGGGCGCAAGCCUGAUCCAGCCAUGCCGCGUGCAGGAAGACGGUCCUAUGGAUUGUAAACUGC
Molecule: ribosomal RNA, 384 nt
Filed under: uncultured organism
Description: bacterial SSU rRNA
Rfam family: Bacterial small subunit ribosomal RNA
Source: RNAcentral